GAAGCAUAGCUCAGUUGGGAGAGCAUCUGCCUUACAAGCAGAGGGUCAUAGGUUCGAGCCCUAUUGUUUCC
RNAcentral lists this transfer RNA (71 nucleotides) under human gut metagenome. It matches the Rfam family "tRNA". Rfam says of the family: Transfer RNA (tRNA) molecules are approximately 80 nucleotides in length. Their secondary structure includes four short double-helical elements and three loops (D, anti-codon, and T loops). The record is from RNAcentral. RNAcentral also lists the same sequence under 1 other name.